UCGGGAAUUUUGGGCAAUGGGCGCAAGCCUGACCCAGCAACGCCGCGUGAGGGAUGAAGGCCCUCGGGUCGUAAACCUCUGUCGGGAGGGAAGAAAGGUCUUCGAGCGAAUAGGUCGAGGGCUUGACGGUACCUCCAAAGGAAGCGCCGGCUAACUCCGUGCCAGCAGCCGCGGUAAUACGGAGGGCGCAAGCGUUGUUCGGAAUCAUUGGGCGUAAAGCGCGUGUAGGCGGCUUGGUAAGUCGGGUGUGAAAGCCCGGGGCUCAACCCCGGAACUGCACUCGAUACUGCCUCGCUAGAGUCCCGGAGAGGAAGGCGGAAUUCCAGGUGUAGAGGUGAAAUUCGUAGAUAUCUGGAGGAACACCAGCGGCGAAGGCGGCCUUCUGGACGGUGACUGACGCUGAGACGCGAAAGCGUGGGGAGCAAACAGGAUUAGAUACCCCCGUAGUCC
RNAcentral lists this ribosomal RNA (450 nucleotides) under uncultured prokaryote. Its description in RNAcentral is "bacterial SSU rRNA". It matches the Rfam family "Bacterial small subunit ribosomal RNA", at positions 355 to 796 of the family's 1533-position model. The record is from RNAcentral.